GUCGCGUUGUUCGUGAAAUCUCACGGCUUAACUGUGAGCGUGCGGGCGAUACGGGCAGACUUGAGUACUGCAGGGGAGACUGGAGUUCCUGGUGUAGCGGUGGAAUGCGCAGAUAUCAGGAGGAACACCGGUGGCGAAGGCGGGUCUCUGGGCAGUAACUGACGCUGAGGAGCGAAAGCGUGGGGAGCGAACAGGAUUAGAUACCCUGGUAGUCCACGCCGUAAACGGUGGGUACUAGGUGUGGGUUUCCUUCCUUGGGAUCCGUGCCGUAGCUAACGCAUUAAGUACCCCGCCUGGGGAGUACGGCCGCAAGGCUAAAACUCAAAGAAAUUGACAGGGGCCCGCACAAGCGGCGGAGCAUGUGGAUUGAUUCGAUGCAACGCGAAGAACCUUACCUGGGUUUGACAUGCACAGGACGCCGGCAGAGAUGUCGGUUCCCUUGUGGCCUGUGUGCAGGUGGUGCAUGGCUGUCGUCAGCUCGUGUCGUGAGAUGUUGGGUUAAGUCCCGCAACGAGCGCAACCCUUGUCUCAUGUUGCCAGCGGGUAAUGCCGGGGACUCGUGAGAGACUGCCGGGGUCAACUCGGAGGAAGGUGGGGAUGACGUCAAGUCAUCAUGCCCCUUAUGUCCAGGGCUUCACACAUGCUACAAUGGCCGGUACAAAGGGCUGCGAUGCCGCGAGGUUAAGCGAAUCCUUUUAAAGCCGGUCUCAGUUCGGAUCGGGGUCUGCAACUCGACCCCGUGAA
This 744-nucleotide ribosomal RNA is filed under the name uncultured Mycobacterium sp. Its description in RNAcentral is "bacterial SSU rRNA". It matches the Rfam family "Bacterial small subunit ribosomal RNA", at positions 582 to 1324 of the family's 1533-position model. Lineage: Bacteria; Bacillati; Actinomycetota; Actinomycetes; Mycobacteriales; Mycobacteriaceae. The record is from RNAcentral.